This is a small nuclear RNA of Erinaceus europaeus (western European hedgehog), 107 nucleotides long. Lineage: Eukaryota; Metazoa; Chordata; Mammalia; Eulipotyphla; Erinaceidae. The record is from Ensembl.
GUGCUUGCUUCAGCAGCACGUAUACUAAAAUUGGAAUGAUACAGAAAAGAUUAGCAUGACCCCUGCACAAGGAUGACAAGCAAAUUCGUGAAGCAUUCCAUAUUUUU